This 929-nucleotide ribosomal RNA is filed under the name Salmonella enterica subsp. enterica serovar Saintpaul. RNAcentral describes it as "partial 23S ribosomal RNA". It matches the Rfam family "Bacterial large subunit ribosomal RNA", at positions 1250 to 2162 of the family's 2925-position model. The record is from RNAcentral. Lineage: Bacteria; Pseudomonadati; Pseudomonadota; Gammaproteobacteria; Enterobacterales; Enterobacteriaceae.
GUGAAGGUGGCCUGUGAGGGUUGCUGGAGGUAUCAGAAGUGCGAAUGCUGACAUAAGUAACGAUAAAGCGGGUGAAAAGCCCGCUCGCCGGAAGACCAAGGGUUCCUGUCCAACGUUAAUCGGGGCAGGGUGAGUCGACCCCUAAGGCGAGGCCGAAAGGCGUAGUCGAUGGGAAACGGGUUAAUAUUCCCGUACUUGGUGUUACUGCGAAGGGGGGACGGAGAAGGCUAUGUUGGCCGGGCGACGGUUGUCCCGGUUUAAGCGUGUAGGUGUGUGUUCCAGGUAAAUCCGGUUCACUUUAACACUGAGGCGUGACGACGAGGCACUACGGUGCUGAAGCAACAAAUGCCCUGCUUCCAGGAAAAGCCUCUAAGCAUCAGGUAACAUCAAAUCGUACCCCAAACCGACACAGGUGGUCAGGUAGAGAAUACCAAGGCGCUUGAGAGAACUCGGGUGAAGGAACUAGGCAAAAUGGUGCCGUAACUUCGGGAGAAGGCACGCUGACACGUAGGUGAAGUGAUUUACUCAUGGAGCUGAAGUCAGUCGAAGAUACCAGCUGGCUGCAACUGUUUAUUAAAAACACAGCACUGUGCAAACACGAAAGUGGACGUAUACGGUGUGACGCCUGCCCGGUGCCGGAAGGUUAAUUGAUGGGGUCAGCGCAAGCGAAGCUCCUGAUCGAAGCCCCGGUAAACGGCGGCCGUAACUAUAACGGUCCUAAGGUAGCGAAAUUCCUUGUCGGGUAAGUUCCGACCUGCACGAAUGGCGUAAUGAUGGCCAGGCUGUCUCCACCCGAGACUCAGUGAAAUUGAACUCGCUGUGAAGAUGCAGUGUACCCGCGGCAAGACGGAAAGACCCCGUGAACCUUUACUAUAGCUUGACACUGAACAUUGAGCCUUGAUGUGUAGGAUAGGUGGGAGGCUUUGAAG